AGAGUUUGAUCCUGGCUCAGAAUGAACGCUGGCGGCAUGCCUAACACAUGCAAGUCGAACGAAGGCUUCGGCCUUAGUGGCGCACGGGUGCGUAACGCGUGGGAAUCUGCCCCUUGGUUCGGAAUAACAGUUGGAAACGACUGCUAAUACCGGAUGAUGACGUAAGUCCAAAGAUUUAUCGCCGAGGGAUGAGCCCGCGUAGGAUUAGGUAGUUGGUGUGGUAAAGGCGCACCAAGCCGACGAUCCUUAGCUGGUCUGAGAGGAUGAUCAGCCACACUGGGACUGAGACACGGCCCAGACUCCUACGGGAGGCAGCAGUGGGGAAUAUUGGACAAUGGGCGAAAGCCUGAUCCAGCAAUGCCGCGUGAGUGAUGAAGGCCUUAGGGUUGUAAAGCUCUUUUACCCGGGAUGAUAAUGACAGUACCGGGAGAAUAAGCUCCGGCUAACUCCGUG
Molecule: ribosomal RNA, 453 nt
Filed under: uncultured Sphingomonas sp.
Lineage: Bacteria; Pseudomonadati; Pseudomonadota; Alphaproteobacteria; Sphingomonadales; Sphingomonadaceae
Description: bacterial SSU rRNA
Rfam family: Bacterial small subunit ribosomal RNA
Source: RNAcentral